Molecule: ribosomal RNA, 840 nt
Filed under: uncultured Alphaproteobacteria bacterium
Lineage: Bacteria; Pseudomonadati; Pseudomonadota; Alphaproteobacteria
Description: bacterial SSU rRNA
Rfam family: Bacterial small subunit ribosomal RNA
Source: RNAcentral
AACGUACGCUGGCGGCACGCCUAACACAUGCAAGUCGAACGAAGUAGCAAUACUUAGUGGCAAACGGGUGAGUAAUAUGUGGAAAUCUGCCCUUCGGUCUGGAAUAACAUGAGGAAACUUAUGCUAAUACCGGAUAAGCCUUUACAGGGAAAGCUUUAUGCUCCGAUGGAUGAGUCCACACUUGAUUAGUUAGUUGGUGAGGUAAUAGCUCACCAAGACAAUGAUCAAUAGCUGAUUUGAGAGGAUGAUCAGCCACAUUGGGACUGAGACACGGCCCAAACUCCUACGGGAGGCAGCAGUGGGGAAUCUUGCACAAUGGGGGAAACCCUGAUGCAGCGAUGCCGCGUGAGUGAAGAAGGCCCUUGGGUUGUAAAGCUCUUUCGUCGGGGAAGAAAAUGACUGUACCCGAAUAAGAAGGUCCGGCUAACUUCGUGCCAGCAGCCGCGGUAAUACGAAGGGACCUAGCGUAGUUCGGAAUUACUGGGCUUAAAGAGUUCGUAGGUGGUUAAAAAAGUUGGUGGUGAAAUCCCAGAGCUUAACUCUGGAACUGCCAUCAAAACUUUUUAGCUAGAGUAUGAUAGAGGAAAGUAGAAUUUCUAGUGUAGAGGUGAAAUUCGUAGAUAUUAGAAAGAAUACCAAUUGCGAAGGCAGCUUUCUGGAUCAUUACUGACACUGAGGAACGAAAGCAUGGGUAGCGAAGAGGAUUAGAUACCCUCGUAGUCCAUGCCGUAAACGAUGUGUGCUAGACGUUGGAAAUUUAUUUUCAGUGUCGCAGCAAAAGCGUUAAGCACACCGCCUGGGGAGUACGACCGCAAGGUUAAAACUCAAAUGAAUUGACGG